AGUGAACGCUGGCGGUAGGCCUAACACAUGCAAGUCGAACGGCGGCACAGUAAGAGCUUGCUCUUACGGGUGGCGAGUGGCGGACGGGUGGGGAAUACAUCGGAAUCUACUUUUUCGUGGGGGAUAACGUAGGGAAACUUACGCUAAUACCGCAUACGACCUACGGGUGAAAGCAGGGGAUCUUCGGACCUUGCGCGAUUGAAUGAGCCGAUGUCGGAUUAGCUAGUUGGCGGGGUAAAGGCCCACCAAGGCGACGAUCCGUAGCUGGUCUGAGAGGAUGAUCAGCCACACUGGAACUGAGACACGGUCCAGACUCCUACGGGAGGCAGCAGUGGGGAAUAUUGGACAAUGGGCGCAAGCCUGAUCCAGCCAUACCGCGUGGGUGAAGAAGGCCUUCGGGUUGUAAAGCCCUUUUGUUGGGAAAGAAAAGCAGCAGGUUAAUCCCCCGCUGUUCUGACGGUACCCAAAGAAUAAGCACCGGCUAACUUCGUG
This 492-nucleotide ribosomal RNA is filed under the name uncultured bacterium. RNAcentral describes it as "partial 16S ribosomal RNA". It matches the Rfam family "Bacterial small subunit ribosomal RNA", at positions 29 to 507 of the family's 1533-position model. The record is from RNAcentral.